RNAcentral lists this ribosomal RNA (454 nucleotides) under uncultured bacterium. RNAcentral describes it as "bacterial SSU rRNA". It matches the Rfam family "Bacterial small subunit ribosomal RNA", at positions 29 to 526 of the family's 1533-position model. The record is from RNAcentral.
AGCGAACGCUGGCGGCAGGCCUAACACAUGCAAGUCGAACGGGUUCCUUCGGGGACCAGUGGCAGACGGGUGAGUAACACGUGGGAACGUACCCUUCAGUUCGGAACAACCCAGGGAAACUUGGGCUAAUACCGGAUACGCCCUUCGGGGGAAAGAUUUAUCGCUGAAGGAUCGGCCCGCGUCUGAUUAGCUAGUUGGUGAGGUAACGGCUCACCAAGGCGACGAUCAGUAGCUGGUCUGAGAGGAUGAUCAGCCACACUGGGACUGAGACACGGCCCAGACUCCUACGGGAGGCAGCAGUGGGGAAUAUUGGACAAUGGGCGAAAGCCUGAUCCAGCCAUGCCGCGUGAGUGAUGAAGGCCCUAGGGUUGUAAAGCUCUUUCGGCGGGGACGAUAAUGACGGUACCCGCAGAAGAAGCCCCGGCUAACUUCGUGCCAGCCGCCGCGGUAACAC